RNAcentral lists this ribosomal RNA (272 nucleotides) under uncultured soil bacterium. RNAcentral describes it as "partial 16S ribosomal RNA". It matches the Rfam family "Bacterial small subunit ribosomal RNA", at positions 26 to 285 of the family's 1533-position model. The record is from RNAcentral.
AGAAUCAACGCUGGCGGCGUGCCUAACACACGCAAGUCGAACGCGAAAGUCCCGCAAGGGGCAAGUAGAGUGGCAAACGGGUGAGUAACACGUGGGUGACCUGCCUUCGAGUGGGGGAUAACGUCCCGAAAGGGACGCUAAUACCGCAUGACAUCCUGUCUUUGGAAAGACGGAGAUCAAAGCCGGGGAUCGCAAGACCUGGCGCUUGAAGAGGGGCCCGCGCCUGAUUAGCUAGUUGGUGGGGUAACGGCCUACCAAGGCGACGAUCAGUA